UAUUGUCGACGGUCGAACAUUGUAAUCGAUAGGUAAACUAAGUAUUGUAAGAGAAAUCUAGUAUUUGUUAAUUUAUCCGAUCUCGUAUGGAUUUCUUGGCCCUUGAAGUGCGGGCCUACUAAUAUCGGUUUAAUGGAUGCCGCCAUAAAUUGUGCUUUUCAUUGUCUUGUGAAUCGUAGGAGGGCACACUGCGGUAAGAUUAAGUUAGUUUGAAAUGUAUGAGGCUGAUUUGAAUUGUUAACAGAAUAAAACGAUCGCCCCGAUCGCACCAAUCGAGCGCCACCAGGCGCACGCCGCCCUUAAAGUUCACCCUCUCUUCGGACCUACGCGUGUGGGGUAGUCGUUAACAAGGCAACUCCAUAUGAUGCAAGACAACUCCUUUUAUUCGCAGUCCUAGGGAGACUGUAAGGGCAACUUGCGCUGGAGGACGGCUUGACGACCAGCUAGAGAGUUGCCAGGAGCAAUUCCCGUACCAGUAGAGGAGUCGCAGGCAGCGACAUAGACGGGCGCAGACAGCGCCGAACACUGGGUACGGACGGAGUCGCAGUCAGCGACAGGGAGACGCAGGCCGCGUCAGUUAAGGAGACCGCAGACAGCGGUCAGGAGGCGCAAGGAGCGCCAAGCACGGGGUCCGCAGACAGCGGGCCAGAAGACGCAAGGAGCGUCAAGCAUCGCCUGCCGCAGCCAGCGGCCAGAAGGCACAGGUGCCGCCAUUUUGGAGAGCGCUGAGGCAGCGCCGUAUUUGGACCUGUUAGGAUGCAGCAUUCCCCGAAGAGGAGCUCGCGGCUGAGAGGAGGGGAAGCCACCCCUACAGCAGCGCGAGCGGAUCAGCAGCCAGUGAGUAGUGGAGCAGAAAACCGGCCGCGAGUGAACAUAACCUCGGCGGCGGCCAUUUCUAGCCCAGCCACUACGGUGACUACAGUAGCGUCCCAACCGAGGAGUACUGCUGUCACAGCUGCGGGAUCAGAGCCGGAGACGAACCAGUCCCUCACGUCGGACCUUUUGAAAAGGAUUGCGGCGUUGGAGGAGGAGCUAAAGCAGGUUAAAGCCCUGAACAGUGUGAGCACCGCCAAUUGCGCGCCAAUCGCAGUUGGCCCAAGCGCAGAUGGCGCCAUCAGUGGAGCGUCGGGGCGGCCGCCAUCUUGGAGCGGACCGCCAUUAGCCAUAUCUAACGGUGAGGCCUCAACUAACGGGGUCGGGCCGGUCCCACAUAGCGGUGUCGGUGCGAGCAGUGCGGCCUGCACGCUGCCGCCAUCUUGGAGUGGACCGCCAUUGCUAACGACUAGCAAUCAUUUUGUGGAGCCACUGUGUGCUACAAGUGUUGCGCAGACAGCGCAUGGAUUCGUGCUACCGGGCGGGAGCACCCACAACGUGGCAACAGCAUCGCCAUUUGUUGGGUCCUACGCCCCGAUAACGCCGAAUGAAUCCCAAAGAGUGUACGGGCCAAGGAAGCUUCCGGACCUGCCUGUAUUUGGAGGGCAGCCCGAGGAGUGGCCGAUCUUUAACUGUGCGUUUGUGGAGACGACCCAAGCAUACAACUGCACAGACUUGGAGAACAACCAGAGGUUGUUGAAGGCGCUGAAGGAUGAAGCACGCGAGACAGUGAAGUCGCUGCUGAUUCACCCUGGGAACGUCAGCGCCGUGAUGGAGCAGCUGCGCUUUAGGUUCGGCCGACCGGAGCAGCUUAUACGCAGCCAGCUGAACAGCGUGCGAGAGGUGCCGCCGAUUUCGGAGCAGCACCUGGCGAGGAUCGUUCCCUUUGCAACCCGAGUGAGUAACCUCACGGCCUUCUUGCAGUCAGCGAAGGCGGAGCAGCACCUGCGGAACCCAACGCUAAUGGAGGAGCUUGUGGCAAAGCUUCCUACGAGCAAGCGAGUAGACUGGGCCAGGCACGCUGCAUCGAUCGAGCCCUUUCCCACUGUGGCGCACUUCAGCGUGUGGCUGCAGGAGUACGCAAACGUCGUGUGUACGGUUUUGGACGUCGAGGGAAAGGAGCCGAGGCGUCGAGUUCUACAUGCGAGCGUCGACCAGAACGGAUGCGAUCAACAGGAUGAUCGGCAUGGAGGUUGUCCAAUUUGUGGAGGGCAACAUGCUGCGACGAGCUGCAGGGAGUUCAUUGGAGCUUCGCCACCGGGUAGGUGGAGCAUGGUGAGGAGGCAUCGGCUCUGCUUCACAUGCUUACGGAGUGGACAUACGACCAGAACCUGCGAUGUACAUGGCGAGUGCCAGAUCAACGGAUGCCGCAGAUUGCAUCACCGUCUGCUACAUGGUGCGGACGAGGAGCGAAGAUGGCCGGCGCAGCGAGGUGGCUUCAGGAGCCACAACGGAGGAAACCAGCAGUCAGCAGUUUCCAGACGCGGCCCGGACAGGAGGUCUUCGCCACGAGGUGGUUACAGGGACCACGAGGGGAGCCUACAGUCGGCUGUCCCCAGAAACAGCCUGGAGAUAAGGGCCCCGCAGCCAGCGGAGGCACCCGUGCAGAGGAACUUAAACUGCGUUGACGCCGAAGGAGGCCGACUUUUGUUCCGUAUACUGCCAGUAACGCUGUACGGAGCUGGUCGCCAGGUGGAUACAUACGCGCUCUUGGAUGAAGGAUCCUCCGUCACGAUGAUCGAUGACGAGCUACGGAGGGAUCUGGGAGUGCGAGGCGUACAUCGACAGCUGAAUAUACAAUGGUUUGGAGGAAGGGCCAGCAGAGAGCCCAGCAACGUGGUGAGCCUAGAGAUAAGUGGAGCUGGGAAUUCCACUCGCCACGCUUUAAGGAACGUGUACUCCGUUUCGAGCCUGAGUCUGCCAAUGCAGACGUUAGGUCGACGAGAUGUCCAGGGCGUGCAUAAGGAUGCGCGUCUGCCGAUGAAGCCCUACAUCAACGUGGUGCCUAAGUUGCUCAUCGGACUGGACCAUGGACAUUUGGGAUUGCCACUUAGGACGAGGCGGUUUGCCAGAGAGGGACCGUAUGCGGCCGCAACCGAGCUUGGAUGGGUUGUGUUUGGGCCAGUAAGUGGGCAAUCGACUACGCCGUCACCGAGGUCCUGCCUUCUAGCCGUGUCAAUGGAUGAUACGAUGGAAAAGAUGGUGGAGGACUACUUCGAGAUGGAAAGCUUUGGUGUGAAGCUCGCGCCACAGGUCGCAGGCAGCGAUGACGCGCGGGCACAAAGGAUCCUCGAAGAUACCACGGUGAAAGUGGGGCGUCGCUACCAGACGGGAUUACUCUGGAAGGACGACUACGCUGUGCUGCCACGGAGCUAUGAGAUGGCGCACAGACGGCUGAUCAAUGUGGAGAAGAAGUUGAAGCGCAACGGGCAGUUGGCGCUGGAAUACGAUCGUAUCAUCAAGGAUUACGUAUCCAAAGGAUAUGCGAGGAAGCUGCAGCAGGAUGAGGUCGCGGUGACGAGCGACCGGCUAUGGUAUUUGCCACAUUUUGGUGUCGAAAACCCGAACAAGCCCGGUAAGGUCCGGCUUGUGUUCGAUGCUGCAGCCAAGGUUGGAGGAACCUCGCUAAAUUCGGCGCUGGACAAGGGGCCUCAGCAUUACAAGCCCUUGCCAGCCGUGCUCUUCCACUUCAGGGAAGGAGCAGUCGGAGUCUGCGGUGACAUCAAGGAGAUGUUCCACCAAGUGCUGAUCCGACCCGAGGAUCGAUGUUCCCAACGAUUCCUUUGGAGAGAUGGCAACGACGAUCGAGACCCGGAUGUGUACGAGAUGAACGUAAUGACCUUUGGAGCAGCCUGCUCGCCGAGCGCUGCGCAUUACGUAAAGACGGUGAAUGCCCUGAAGUUUCGGGAUUCAGACCCGAGGGCAGUCAAGGCCAUCAUCGACUACCACUACGUCGAUGACUAUGUGGACAGUUUCGCUACAGAGAGCGAAGCUAUAAGUGUAUCUACCCGAGUGAAGGAGAUACAUGCGGAGGCUGGAUUCGAGUUAUGCCAGUUUUCAUCCAGCUCACCCAUCGUGGAAGCGGCGUUGGGACCACCCGGACAAGUCAAGAGCGUCGGAUGGGGUGAGGCUGAGCAGAAGAUCCUUGGAAUGCGCUGGCAGGUAGCCACGGACGACUUCAGGUUCAACGUGGAGUAUCACCGAGUGCCAAGUAGCGUUCUAAGUGGAGAUCGAGUCCCUACAAAGAGGGAGUAUUUGAGCCUGCUGAUGUCAACGUUCGACCCAUUGGGAUUCCUGUGCUGCCUGAUGAUUACAGCGAAGCUGUUGUUGAGAGAGAUCUGGAGGCAGAAGAUCCAGUGGGACGAACCACUACCGGAGGAGAUAGGCAGAGCCUUUGCGGCCUGGCGCAGGGAGAUGGACGCCGUGAGACAGUUCCGAUGCCCUCGUCACUAUUUCGGGCAUGGAGCAGUCCGGAACGUCGAGUUGCACGUGUUCGUGGAUGCAAGUCAAUCUGCAUUCGCGGCGGUGGCCUAUUGGAGGGUCACGUACGAGGAUGACAACGUGAUGGUUAGCUUCGUGUGCGCAAAGACGAAGUGCGCGCCGAUGAGAACGAUGUCGAUCCCAAGGUUGGAGCUGCAGGCAGCGGUUCUUGGAACCAGACUGAUGAACACUGUCCAGGAGGAGCACAGUGUGGACAUCAGCGAGACGGUGUUGUGGACGGACUCAAAGACGGUGCUGAGAUGGAUCGGCAGCACCCACCGCCGGUACAAGCAGUUUGUUGGCAACCGAGUGGCGGAGAUUUUGGAGUCGUCGAAGGUUUCCCAGUGGAGGUGGGUACCCACAGCUGACAACGCAGCGGAUGAUGCGACGCGGUCGCAGAAUAAGGCGGACCUUAGCCCGGAAUCACGUUGGCUAAGUGGACCCGCAUUUUUGAGACAGCCAGCGAGCGGCUGGCCGGCGCCUGAGGAGGGAACUAAGCGUGUUCCAGAUGCGCCUGAUGAAGAGGAGAUGCCCGGUGAGUUUGCAUUGGUGGCCGCGGAUGAAUUUGCCAUUCCGUUCCAGAGAUUCUCGAGCUUCAGUCGCCUGGUGAGGACCACAGCAUGGGUCUUGAGGUUUGCGCGUUGGUGUCGCAAGCAGAGAAGCGAGAUCGAGGAGUACGGACUCACUGCAUCGGAGUGUGAGGCCGCGGAGAACCUGUUAGUCAGACAGGCCCAGUUGGAGUCGUUCCCCGACGAGAUGAGGUCGGCGGGAUGCGGAAAGGACGUCGCCAGCUCGAGUGAGAUUCGAGGUCUGGCGCCUUACGUGGAUGAACAUGGAGUUCUGCGAGUUUAUGGCAGAGUUGAUGCCGCGCUGUGCAUGCCGUACAGUGCGAGGAGGCCCGUAAUACUGUCACACAGGCACAGUCUUACGGAUUUGAUUGUGAGGCACUUUCAUGCCCAGAUGAAGCAUCAAAACGUGGAUGCGACGAUUGCUCAGAUUCGGACGAGAUUCUGGGUCACGAAGAUGAGACGAGUGCUGAAGGAAGUAAUCUCGUCGUGCAACGAGUGCAAGUUGCAGCGAACGCGGCCGAUGCCGCCGAUAAUGGGACCCCUACCAGAGGAUCGACUGGAAGCGGGAGGAUGGCCAUUCAAGUACACCGGAUUGGACUACUUUGGGCCACUGCUGGUGACUGUAUCCCGUCACAGAGAGAAGCGUUGGGUCGCCUUGUUCACAUGCUUGACGACAAGGGCGAUUCAUCUGGAGUUGGCUCAUGACCUGUCGACGGAUUCCUGCAUAAUAGCGAUGAGGAACUUCGUCUGCCGUAGAGGACCAGUACAUAGACUGCGGAGUGAUAACGGCAAGAACUUCGUGGGAGCUGACAGGGAGGCCAAGCGAUUUGGAGACGUGUUCGAGACGGAGAGGAUACAGAGUGAGUUGUCCAGCAGAAGCAUUGAAUGGGAUUUCAAUUGCCCGUCGAACCCGUCUGAGGGCGGAGUAUGGGAGCGGAUGGUGCAGUGCGUCAAACGAGUGCUGCGCCAUACCCUGAAGGAAGUUGCGCCGAAGGAUCAUGUGUUGGAGAGUUUCCUGAUCGAGGCGGAGAAUGUAGUCAACUCGCGUCCGCUCACCCACUUGCCGGUGGAUGCGGACCAAGAGGCGCCGUUGACGCCAAAUGAUCUGCUCAAGGGAGCAGCUAACCUGCCGAAUACGCCUGGAUUGGAUGCGGAGCUGCCCAAGGAGGGUUCUACGCGAAAGCAGUGGAGGAUUGCUCGCAUGCUGCGAGACCGUUUCUGGAGGAGGUGGGUCCUGGAGUACCUGCCUACGCUUGUGCGCCGCGAGAAGUGGUGCCGGAGAACGGAGCCCAUCCGCCAGGGCGAUAUGGUCUUCGUCUGCGAUCCUGCCUUGCCCAGACGAGAGUGGCGCAAGGGAAUCGUGGAGGAGGUCUACAGCGGAGCUGAUGGAGUCGUCAGACGCGCUACUGUGCGCGUGAACGACAAUGGCCUAUCUCGGACAAUGUUGCGGCCCGUCUCAAAACUUGCAGUUUUGGAUUUGAGUGAAGCGGUUCUUCACGGGGUCGGGGAUGUCGACGGUCGAACAUUGUAAUCGAUAGGUAAACUAAGUAUUGUAAGAGAAAUCUAGUAUUUGUUAAUUUAUCCGAUCUCGUAUGGAUUUCUUGGCCCUUGAAGUGCGGGCCUACUAAUAUCGGUUUAAUGGAUGCCGCCAUAAAUUGUGCUUUUCAUUGUCUUGUGAAUCGUAGGAGGGCACACUGCGAAUAAAACGAUCGCCCCGAUCGCACCAAUCGAGCGCCACCAGGCGCACGCCGCCCUUAAAGUUCACCCUCUCUUCGGACCUACGCGUGUGGGGUAGUCGUUAACAAGGCAACUCCAUAUGAUGCAAGACACAUAUGUAUCUGUAUCUGUAUGUAAUAUUUUGAAGCAUUACUUUACUCGUGCGUUCGUAGUAUCUUAAAAACAAAAAAUGACUCAAACUAAUAAAAGAACUGAUUGUGGGUGAUAAA
This is a non-coding RNA of Drosophila suzukii, 6868 nucleotides long. The record is from RefSeq and is a predicted model, not a curated record. Lineage: Eukaryota; Metazoa; Arthropoda; Insecta; Diptera; Drosophilidae.